CUACUCGGGUUUCUAAUCCUGUUUGCUCCCCACGCUUUCGCAUCUCAGUGUCAGUGUCAGCCCAGAAGGUCGCCUUCGCCACUGGUAUUCCUCCAGAUAUCUACGCAUUUCACCGCUACACCUGGAAUUCUACCUUCCUCUUCUGCACUCUAGUUUGUCAGUUCUUUAUCCAGUUCCUAUGUUAAGCAUAGGGAUUUCAAAUAAAGCUUAACAAACCACCUACAUGCCCUUUACGCCCAGUAAUUCUGAUUAACGCUUGCACCCUCCGUUUUACCGCGGCGGCUGGCAC
This 289-nucleotide ribosomal RNA is filed under the name uncultured Gammaproteobacteria bacterium. RNAcentral's name for it is "partial 16S ribosomal RNA". Lineage: Bacteria; Pseudomonadati; Pseudomonadota; Gammaproteobacteria. The record is from RNAcentral.